CACCAUGGAAACGGUACACAGCAGGCCUUUUAUGCUGACCCCAGCGUCCUGUACAUUUCACUCCAUCGCUAUGAUGAAGGGAACUUUUUCCCCGGCAGCGGAGCCCCGAAUGAGGUUGGAAUAGGCCUGGGAGAAGGCUACAACAUAAACAUUGCCUGGACAGGUGGCCUUGACCCCCCCAUGGGAGAUGCUGAGUACCUCGAAGCCUUCAGGACUGUCGUGAUGCCUGUGGCCAAAGAAUUUGAUCCAGACAUGGUCCUGGUUUCUGCUGGAUUUGAUGCAUUGGAAGGCCACACCCCUCCCCUAGGGGGUUACAAAGUGACAGCAAAAUGCAAGUAUCUCUUUCAAGACUUCAUGAAAAGCUAUGA
Peromyscus eremicus (cactus mouse) is the source of this 368-nucleotide long non-coding RNA. RefSeq lists it as uncharacterized. The transcript has 3 exons. The record is from RefSeq and is a predicted model, not a curated record. Lineage: Eukaryota; Metazoa; Chordata; Mammalia; Rodentia; Cricetidae.